Molecule: ribosomal RNA, 643 nt
Filed under: uncultured bacterium
Lineage: Bacteria
Description: bacterial SSU rRNA
Rfam family: Bacterial small subunit ribosomal RNA
Source: RNAcentral
GAAAGGCUUCGGCCGGACAGGGAUGGGCAUGCGGCGCAUUAGGCAGUAGGCGGGGUAACGGCCCACCUAACCGACGAUGCGUAGGGGUUCUGAGAGGAAGGUCCCCCACACUGGUACUGAGACACGGACCAGACUCCUACGGGAGGCAGCAGUGAGGAAUAUUGGUCAAUGGUCGGGAGACUGAACCAGCCAAGCCGCGUGAGGGAGGAAGGUACAGAGUAUCGUAAACCUCUUUUGUCAGGGAACAAAGACUGGGACGCGUCCCCGGAUGAGUGUACCUGAAGAAAAAGCAUCGGCUAACUCCGUGCCAGCAGCCGCGGUAAUACGGAGGAUGCGAGCGUUAUCCGGAUUUAUUGGGUUUAAAGGGUGCGCAGGCGGUCUGUUAAGUCAGCGGUCAAAGCCCGGGGCUCAACCCCGGCCCGCCGUUGAAACUGGCAGUCUCGAGUUGGAGAGAAGUAUGCGGAAUGCGCGGUGUAGCGGUGAAAUGCAUAGAUAUCGCGCAGAACUCCGAUUGCGAAGGCAGCAUGCCGGCUCCACACUGACGCUGAGGCACGAAAGCGUGGGUAUCGAACAGGAUUAGAUACCCUGGUAGUCCACGCAGUAAACGAUGAAUGCUGGCUGUCCGGGGGGGACUGACCCCUGG